Myotis brandtii (Brandt's bat) is the source of this 1427-nucleotide long non-coding RNA. RefSeq lists it as uncharacterized. The transcript has 3 exons. NCBI's taxonomy places the organism in Eukaryota, Metazoa, Chordata, Mammalia, Chiroptera, Vespertilionidae. The record is from RefSeq and is a predicted model, not a curated record.
AGAGAAUGAGCUGGAAGACAGAGAAGGUCAUGACCAGCCAUGUAGUUUCUGGAAUUAGCUGACUGGCACAGUUUCUUACUAGCUAUGUAACCUUGGGCUGGUUACUUAAAGGUUUCCCCAUCUGAUAAUAGAGAUAUAACAGUAUCUCAACUCAUAGAGUGGUUGUGAGAACCAAGCAGCAUACUUCAUAGAGACCCUCGCACAUACAUGUGCAUUUUUAGUAUUCUGAUUAUGCACCCCAAUCCACUCACUAGCUUUGUGCCCUUGGUAAAUUACCUAACCUCUCUGAGCUUCCUCAAAUGUAAACUGGGAAAUCACAAUAUCCAUUUUACAAGAUGGGCUUUAUAUAAAGGAGUGGCAUGUAAAAUUCUUAGCCCAGUAUUUGACCCGUGUGCAUAUUAAAAAAUAGUUACUCUUCUAAUUAGUUUUAUUUGUAUUGAGAUAAUUCAUUCUAACUUCCCAUAGGUACAUUCUCUAUUUAGCCAUCUGCCAGAUCUCAGAAUCUCCUUUCCCCACCCUCCACAGGCCCGAGGCUAUGGGGACAGAUGACAGAAGAUGGGGAGGCUCAUCUCACUCUUUAUUUCAACAUGUUAUGCUUCAACAGCAGGAGGUCACAUGGGUGAGCAUCAUCCAAUACAUUGAGGAACUGAGUAGAACAAAAAGGUGAAGCUGGGACAUCAUCUUCUGCCCUUAGACAUCACUGCCUAGUUCUUUAGCCUUCAGACUCAUACUGAACUACACCACCAGCUUUGCUACUUCUCCAAAUUGCAGACGACAGAUUGUGGGACCUCUCAAUAUACAGUAUAAUGACCUAUAUACUGUCUUGAUAUAUAAAGGUUUCAGUUGGUCUAAUGAUCUGGUUAACCUGCAGCAUCGGGCUCCUCACCAUCUCAGGCCGAGUGAGCGUCGCCUGUUACCUGGAUCACUGCAGGGGCCUCCUGACUGACCUCCCUGCCUCCCCCUUACCCGCGUGGGGCUCCUUCUUCAAACAGCAGCCAGGGCUGUGCUUAAACACGGACAUCAAAACAUGCUGGUCCUCUGCCCGGCGCCUGGCAGGGCUCUCUGUCUGACUCAGAGCGAAAGCCAGUGUCUGUCUGAAGGCCCCGGAGGCCCGCGGUGGCUGGGUCCCACAUGUGACACUGUUGCUCUGCACCGUGGUCACUGUUCUGGCCACGCUGCCUUCUCACUGUUCUUUGAACACACCAUGCGUUGUCCAUUCCCUCUGCCUUGACUGCUGUUUCCUAUGUAAAGGCACCAUUGCUUCUCUCAUUUCCUUAAUGUUUGUACUUAAAUGUCACCUUCUCACGGAGACCUCCCCUGCCCACCUUAUUUACAAGCGCAUUCUGUCCCCCACUCCAGCUCUCCUGGUACUCUUUACUGUGCCCUGUGGUUUAUUUUUUCCAUAAAGCUUAUCACUUUCUAAUGUA